GGUUGGGUAAUUGCCUGGGUAAAUCGAUGCGCUCAGCUUAUCAAACUCCGGGUAGACAGAUGGACUCGAGACCGGGAGAGGUGUGAGGUACUCCGGGGGUAGGGGUAAAAUCCUGUAAUCCUCGGGGGACCACCAGUGGCGAAGGCGUCGCACUGGAACGGUUCUGACGGUGAGGGACGAAGCCCUGGGGCGCAAACCGGAUUAGAUACCCGGGUAGUCCAGGGUGUAAACGCUGCUGACUUGGUGUCGGGGGUCCUACGGGGGCUCUCGGUGCCGGAGAGAAGUUGUUAAGUCAGCCGCCUGGGGAGUACGGUCGCAAGACUGAAACUUAAAGGAAUU
Molecule: ribosomal RNA, 339 nt
Filed under: uncultured bacterium
Lineage: Bacteria
Description: bacterial SSU rRNA
Rfam family: Archaeal small subunit ribosomal RNA
Source: RNAcentral